The sequence is a regulatory RNA element, 141 nucleotides long. It matches the Rfam family "Pseudoknot of tRNA-like structure". The record is from Rfam.
GGUGCCUUUGAACCCUUUAUCCCGGGGUUCUUCGGAAGGUGAGACUUGUCCAUGUAGAGUCUCGCCGUGCACGGUAUCACACUGAUGAUACCUUCAGAGUGCAGGCAUCGCCUACGGUUUUCCGUAGGUUCCCCCUAGGGG